AUUGGCUUUGUGAGGGCUUUAACAUGCUCAAAUUCUUACCAAAAUUUGCAGAAAGUUAGAGAAAGUGGUGAAAAUUUACGUAUUCCUGAGGAAUUUUCAAUGUGCGUCGCAAAAUGGCUCAACGGUGUAAUUAUUAUUGAAGAGAAAAGGUCUGAUUUUAUAUUAUAAAUUAUAUUAUGUAUUUUGGGAAAUCAGAUCUUUUUGUUUACCCCAGUUUAACCUUUUAAAGGGAUCAAACUCUGUAAAUAAGGAAACUGAACUGAUUCUCAUUUACCACAAUAAACUAAACUUAAUUAUCACAUAAAUAUAAAGUAAUGUGAUCUUUGGAAUCAGUCUCACUGAUGCUAAAGAGUAAAGAUUUAAGCCCAAACUGGAAAUGUUAAAUCUUGAGUUUCUGGUGUCUAAAGUCCCAAUGUCAUGUUCUUGAUAUCAGAACAGAGAAUAAUCAAAUCCACUUUUUUUGACCUGAACGAAGGUUUAUUGGAAAAACUGAGAAUGAAUUCGUGAAAGUGGAAAAAAACAACAUCUCAUCACUCAGAUGAUGGAGUCUGAUUUGUUUUUUUGAAGUCUGGUGUCAGAUAUCUGUGAGCAGAUGAGUCACUGUGAAGGAUCUUGUUUUCAAGACCUUCACAUUAGUCAUUGUUUACUGGAUGAAGCCGCAGGAGUUGACAGCUCUUUGGGGGGAAAAGGUUCCAUAAUCCCUGAAGAAGUUCUGCAGCUGUGGUGUUAGAUAACCAGACAUGUUAAUACCCCAUCAGGUAUCAAAAUAGAUCUAUAACGUUUUCAGUAAAAGUAUUGGUACUGAUAUGACUGAGAAGAAAAGAGUUUGGAUUGCAGUCAAGCGCAUUCCCUGUUAUUUCCUGCUCCAGUAUAUUGUAGAAAUGCUACUGGGAGAUGGGCUGUAGUUCUUAUCAUAGUGGUGCGUGUUCAUGUUUCUAAUGAGUUUGGUUUUAAUUAUCUAGACAGGACUCAGGUCUCUAGUUUCAAACAUCACCUUCCUGUGUAAAGGUCCCGACUCAGGAGCAGACAACCCGCUCCUGAUGCAGAUAUAAGAGGCUCAUUCUAAAGUAGCAGAAAAAUGCACUGAUUGUUAGUUUCUGGAGCCAAUAGAUCCUCCACACUGGUCCUUUAGGGGACAAUGUGCAGUAGAAACAAGUGAAAUUUAAUCACCUUGUUUGCUUGUUCCAGACUAAAUAAAGAUAAAGACAAGUGGAGUGUUUUCUUCCUCCCACGAAACCGACAGGUCGACUGUAGCUCUGCCAGUCGCUGUCGUCUCCCUGUCAUGAAACCGUCUGGACCUCUGACCCCACAGCCUCAGACCCUGUACUUUAACCCCACAGCCUCUGAAAACCUCUGCUCCUAUUUAUACCACAGCCGAUCCCUGCAGCUCGUUAAAGCUCCUCCUGUGGCUGUGAGCUUGUAAGCAAUUUGUUUGUGGGGAGAGUUAUCAGGCAGAACGCUGCACGUCUGUUUGGAUGAACGCGUCGGAUCACACAUUCAAAUCAGAGUCCAGUGUGCACUUGAUCUAGGAUUGUUUUUUUUUCUAUUGGUCAAACUGGGACAGUGUUGAUGAUCACUCGCUAUUUGAGCUUCACUUCUAAUAUCUGCAGUCACGGACCUCAGGCUUCUAUCUAAACUAAAGAUAACAUUAUUUUGUCUUUGUGCAUUUUGCUCGACCGCCACCUCUUCACUAGAUCCUCGUAUGACCUUUGGUGGUUUUAACGCUUCAGCCGACCUUGACCUUUUGUCUCUGUCUUCAGAUAGUAAGCUGGCGUGUCUCUGUGCUCAGGAUCACCAGUUCAGCCAGAACUCCUCCACCACUGUUUCCCCACUGCAGCCCUGGUUCCACCAAACACUGCAGCACUCAAACUGUAGUUUCUACCAAUGACCAGCAGAGGGCGACCUGGUUUGCCUGAUAGUUGACAUCCAGAGGGAACCUGAAGACGUGGAGGUCGUGGUGCCCCCUGAGGGUCUUGGAAUUCAACAGAUUCGUUAACUUUUUCUGAUUUUAAAGGUGUACCAGCUGAGAGAGGGUGGAGCAGCUGGAGCAGAAGGUCCAGGUGCUGGAGGGACCGGACAGUGCCUGGGGGUGCUGGUCAACCCUGUCCGCAACAGCUGUGAAUGAGCUGUGCACGGUAGCCAUUGAGAUGGUGGCGGGGGCUACAGCUGAUAGCAGGACAUCUUGUCAGCUUAAUUUUUCCAAUAGGACCUUUUAGCCCUGGAGGAGCUGAUGAGGGAUCAGUCUUGUACAAUACAGGUGGAGGACGAGGAGAUGAAGGUAA
This is a long non-coding RNA of Limanda limanda (common dab), 2282 nucleotides long. RefSeq lists it as uncharacterized. NCBI's taxonomy places the organism in Eukaryota, Metazoa, Chordata, Actinopteri, Pleuronectiformes, Pleuronectidae. The transcript has 5 exons. The record is from RefSeq and is a predicted model, not a curated record.